NNNNNNNNNNNNNNNNNNNNNNNNNNNNNNNNNNNNNNNNNNNNNNNNNNNNNNNNNNNNNNNNNNCUCUGGCUGCAGCCAGCACCCCCCACCCCGGGCCGCAGCGGCCCCCACACAAGGCUGCAAAGACUGAGGCGCUGGGUCCCUACACAGCUCCCUUCCUGGCCCGGGCAGCUGCCGCUCCGGGCACCACGCAUGCCGACGUCUUCCUAAGCAAGCUCACCCGGCAAAUCGGUGUUUCCCUCCCGGUGCCCUGGUAAAGCCCACGCUGCCUGCCCCAAGGCGCUCAGCUCAGCCCCCACGCGGCCCCGGGCCAGAGCCUGCACAAGCCCGCUGGGGCACGGAGCCCUGCCCGUGGACAGCCCAGAUGGCGAGGGUUAAAGCCGGGAAGCCAGGGCCCAGGCACGGCUCUGUGGAUCAGAACCCGCUCCGGCACAGCCUGGCGAGAUUACAGCGGGCCCAGGACACGGCCCUCCACCGAGGGAGAACGUUCCGGACAACUCACCCUGGACCAGUCCCGUCGGGGACCAGGGGGCGAGCGGAGGCACAUGUGGCCCCCAGGACAGGAGCCGGGGGUGAGACAGCGGCUCUGACCCCGCCUGCUCCUCCCACCCCAGGGCCCUCACCAACACAGCAAGGCGCGGCACAGCGCCCCCGCCUGGCGGGUGAGGGGAAGACGGGGCAGGGGCUGGGAUCAGCAUGUUGGAGGCCACCCUCGCUCAGCAGCUCGGUGAGCCGGGGCGUGUCCCCCACCCCCGCCAGUGUAAACACGCCUGUUUGUUUUGGAAAUGUGGGGGCCCAGGGCGUGGGGAGCGAAAGGCGACACCAUCACGCCUCCCCCAUCUGUAAACACACUCAAGGCAGCUGCCCAAGGUCACUGCAGAGCCGGACCCUGGGUUCCACAGAAACCAGUCUAGGACGGUUCCCUCCCCCAGGCCCAGCACGGGCCUGGCACGGCCCAGCUGUCCCGUGGGGGGAAGGGCGGCAGAAGCAGGGUCUCUGGGCCCCGCGAGGACGGGGGCACCCGCGGGCAGUCAGCCCGGGCCCUACUGCACAGCGCUUCGCCCAACAGCACCACAGCGGGGGCCCUGCCGGGGGUCCCCAGAGGCCAAGACGCCAACCCCACCCUCCCUCGGCCCCUGCACAGGGCACACAGACCCUCCCCUCCCAGAAGCCAGCACCCAGGCCUGGAGAGUGGGGGCAGGGCACGGGGUCCCCGGCACCGCACCUGGAAGCCGCCCAGGUCCCGACCCGCUGCCUCACCGCAGGCAGACACAGAGACCCGCAGAGGAGGGGACCGGCCCAGCAGCGGGGCCCCGCAGCCCCUGACCCCAGCAGAGCUGCCCUGGUGCCCCUCCCCGGUGGACCUCGGGCUGGGCAGCUGGUGCCGGAAGACAGGGUCGGGCUUGGCUUUGGCCACGCGCACAGGUGCACGGCCGACCCCCAGGGCCGCCUUGUUGCGGAUGGUGCCGUGGGAGGGGCCUCCUGCUGGGACGCGUGGCCAGAGGAGGGCACCCCUCCCGUCUCACGUGCUCCCCCUGGACGAUGCCGGCCGCCAGGCAGCCGCAGGCUGUACUGUGCUGACCGCAGCACCCACCCACUGCCCUCCCCCAGGCCUGAAGAGCGUUUGUAUGAGCAGCAGGGAAGCAGCGCCCCCCUCCCCCCCCCCCAGACCGCCCAGGCCAGGGAGCAGCCCCGCCCCUCCCAGGGCAGCCAGGAGCCCAGGUGUGCGGGCGCGGGCUCACCCGGCACUGCCGACCGCGGAGGCCCAGGCAGGCCAGCAGCCCGUGCUCCAGGUGUGCGCACGCUGGGAGCUCUCCACCCCGGGGCUGACGUGGGGGAGGGGAGGCGCACUCCAAGCUGAUUCAUGGACCCUGACACCUGCUGGGUUCACGCCACUCUCGUAA
Long non-coding RNA from Oryctolagus cuniculus (rabbit), 1907 nucleotides. The record is from Ensembl. Lineage: Eukaryota; Metazoa; Chordata; Mammalia; Lagomorpha; Leporidae.